RNAcentral lists this transfer RNA (73 nucleotides) under Esox masquinongy (muskellunge). RNAcentral's name for it is "tRNA-Thr". It matches the Rfam family "tRNA". From Rfam's summary of the family: Transfer RNA (tRNA) molecules are approximately 80 nucleotides in length. Their secondary structure includes four short double-helical elements and three loops (D, anti-codon, and T loops). The record is from RNAcentral. Lineage: Eukaryota; Metazoa; Chordata; Actinopteri; Esociformes; Esocidae.
GCCCUAGAAGCUCACAUGUUAGAGCACCGGUUUUGUAAUCCGGAAGUUGAAGGUUAAAAUCCUUCCUGGCGCU